This 427-nucleotide ribosomal RNA is filed under the name uncultured bacterium. RNAcentral's name for it is "bacterial SSU rRNA". It matches the Rfam family "Bacterial small subunit ribosomal RNA", at positions 355 to 796 of the family's 1533-position model. The record is from RNAcentral.
UGGGGAAUUUUACGCAAUGGGCGAAAGCCUGACGUAGCGACACCGCGUGAGCGAAGAAGCCCUUCGGGGUGUAAAGCUCUGUCGGCUGGGACGAAAAAAAUGACGGUACCAGCAAAGGAAGCAUCGGCUAACUACGUGCCAGCAGCCGCGGUAAGACGUAGGAUGCAAGCGUUGUCCGGAUUUAUUGGGCGUAAAGAGUUCGUAGGUGGUUUGUUAAGUCUGAUGUUAAAGAUCGAGGCUCAACCUCGGGAGUGCAUUGGAUACUGGCAGACUAGAGUAUGGUAGAGGCAAGCGGAAUUCCAGGUGUAGCGGUGAAAUGCGUAGAUAUCUGGAAGAACACCGGUGGCGUAGGCGGCUUGCUGGGCCAUAACUGACACUGAGGAACGAAAGCCAGGGGAGCGAAUGGGAUUAGAUACCCCCGUAGUCC